Molecule: ribosomal RNA, 255 nt
Filed under: uncultured bacterium
Lineage: Bacteria
Description: partial 16S ribosomal RNA
Rfam family: Bacterial small subunit ribosomal RNA
Source: RNAcentral
UACAGAGGGUGCGAGCGUUGUCCGGAAUCACUGGGCGUAAAGGGCGCGUAGGUGGUGGCUUAAGCGUGCGGUGAAAGCUCGGGGCUCAACUCCGAGUCGGCCGUGCGAACUGGGCUCACUGGAGCAUAGUAGAGGCAGGUGGAAUUCCGGGUGUAGCGGUGGAAUGCGUAGAUAUCUGGAGGAACACCGGUGGCGAAGGCGGCAUCCUGGACCAAUUCUGACGCUGAGGAGCGAAAGCCAGGGGAGCAAACGGGG